This 254-nucleotide ribosomal RNA is filed under the name uncultured bacterium. Its description in RNAcentral is "partial 16S ribosomal RNA". It matches the Rfam family "Bacterial small subunit ribosomal RNA", at positions 524 to 776 of the family's 1533-position model. The record is from RNAcentral.
UACGGGGGGGGGUAAGCGUUGUUCGGAAUUACUGGGCGUAAAGGGCCAGUAGGCGGCCAACUAAGUCCGACGUGAAAUCCCAAGGCUUAACCUUGGAACUGCGUCGGAUACUGGAUGGCUUGAAUUCGGGAGAGGGAUGCAGAAUUCCAGGUGUAGCGGUGAAAUGCGUAGAUAUCUGGAGGAAUACCGGUGGCGAAGGCGGCAUCCUGGACCGACAUUGACGCUGAACGGCGAAAGCUAGGGGAGCAAACGGG